Non-coding RNA from Armillaria nabsnona, 98 nucleotides. The record is from the annotation of a GenBank genome assembly. NCBI's taxonomy places the organism in Eukaryota, Fungi, Basidiomycota, Agaricomycetes, Agaricales, Physalacriaceae.
GGGUCGAUGGCGUAGCUGGUUAUCGCAUCUGUCUAACAUAAUGUGCUUACAGUCCUAAUGUUCACAGAAGGUCCUCAGUUCGAACCUGGGUCGACUCA